Molecule: ribosomal RNA, 460 nt
Filed under: uncultured Mucilaginibacter sp.
Lineage: Bacteria; Pseudomonadati; Bacteroidota; Sphingobacteriia; Sphingobacteriales; Sphingobacteriaceae
Description: bacterial SSU rRNA
Rfam family: Bacterial small subunit ribosomal RNA
Source: RNAcentral
CCUACGGGUGGCUGCAGUAAGGAAUAUUGGUCAAUGGGCGGAAGCCUGAACCAGCCAUGCCGCGUGCAGGAAGACGGCCCUACGGGUUGUAAACUGCUUUUAUACGGGAAUAAACCCCGAUACGUGUAUCGGGCUGAAUGUACUGUAAGAAUAAGGAUCGGCUAACUCCGUGCCAGCAGCCGCGGUAAUACGGAGGAUCCAAGCGUUAUCCGGAUUUAUUGGGUUUAAAGGGUGCGUAGGUGGCCUGUUAAGUCAGGGGUGAAAGACGGUAGCUCAACUAUCGCAGUGCCCUUGAUACUGAUGGGCUUGAAUGAACUAGAGGUAGGCGGAAUGUGACAAGUAGCGGUGAAAUGCAUAGAUAUGUCACAGAACACCAAUUGCGAAGGCAGCUUACUAUGGUUUUAUUGACACUGAGGCACGAAAGCGUGGGGAUCAAACAGGAUUAGAUACCCCUGUAGUC